GACGAACGCUGGCGGCGUGCUUAACACAUGCAAGUCGAACGCUGAAGCUCAGCUUUUGUUGGGUGGAUGAGUGGCGAACGGGUGAGUAACACGUGAGUAACCUGCCUCCUUCUUUGGGAUAACGCCCGGAAACGGGUGCUAAUACUGGAUAUUCACUGGUCUUCGCAUGGGGGUUGGUGGAAAGGGUUUUUCUGGUGGGGGAUGGGCUCGCGGCCUAUCAGCUCGUUGGUGGGGUGAUGGCCUACCAAGGCUUUGACGGGUAGCCGGCCUGAGAGGGUGACCGGUCACAUUGGGACUGAGAUACGGCCCAGACUCCUACGGGAGGCAGCAGUGGGGAAUAUUGCACAAUGGGCGCAAGCCUGAUGCAGCGACGCCGCGUGAGGGAUGGAGGCCUUCGGGUUGUGAACCUCUUUCGCUCAUGGUCAAGCCGCAACAAUGGUUGUGGUGAGGGUAGUGGGUAAAGAAGCGCCGGCUAACUACGUG
Molecule: ribosomal RNA, 483 nt
Filed under: uncultured bacterium
Lineage: Bacteria
Description: partial 16S ribosomal RNA
Rfam family: Bacterial small subunit ribosomal RNA
Source: RNAcentral